Prosopis cineraria is the source of this 660-nucleotide long non-coding RNA. RefSeq lists it as uncharacterized. The record is from RefSeq and is a predicted model, not a curated record. NCBI's taxonomy places the organism in Eukaryota, Viridiplantae, Streptophyta, Magnoliopsida, Fabales, Fabaceae. The transcript has 3 exons.
GAUCCUGAUACCUUCAGCAAUGAAUAUGUGAAGUUAAAAAGGAUAUUUUUAUGACUCCAUAUGUACACUCGUAAGGAUCAAUUUAUGAUUGAUAGUUUUUUUGUUAAAUGUGAAUUUCUUCUAAUAACUCAUUAUAUUUUAUAGGGACACUAGCAAUUGAUUGUUCUUUCAUUAAAGAGUAACACAGUCUUUUUCUUAUGCUCCCUCAAUUACAAACCAAAUGAGGACAUAAAAAAGACAAUAGACUCGUAAGUGUACUUGUACAAAAACUAUUAAUUUUUAUGGAUAUAUUAGUUAUAAUAUCGUGAUGUUGAUCAUAGGACAAUGAAAAUAUAUGAAAUAAUGGUCCUGAAAAAGCAUCCUCAUGAACUAAAGGAUCCUACGUGGAUUGAGCCAAAGAGUCAUAAGUAACCACCGAAGACUAGUUUGUGCGACAUAUAUGUGAUGAGACACAUGGUCAACAUCAUCACAUUGAGAAUGACUGAAUUUACAAAUGAGAUCCAUUUUCUAAGGAAGAGGUUGAUGGCAUCUUCAUAUGUUGGGCACCAUAUUUUAUGGGUGGUAUGUGAGGUUUAGGUAUUUUUUAGAAAUUGUAUAAGACAAUUUGAGUUUUGUGUAAUUUCUAUAAAAUUAUAUUAAAUUUAAAUUAUUUAUAUGUAC